Molecule: long non-coding RNA, 213 nt
Filed under: Setaria italica (foxtail millet)
Lineage: Eukaryota; Viridiplantae; Streptophyta; Magnoliopsida; Poales; Poaceae
Description: long non-coding RNA (SITA_LNC002411)
Source: RNAcentral
CAACACUGAGAUCAAGCCUGAAAACAAGGAGGAGAUGCAGGAAAUGUUGCGAUGGGAGGCAGAGAAGAAGAAGAUGAUGGAGAAGAGAUGCAGAGAGGAGGCUGCAGAAAAGGAGCACAAGGAAGAGGAGGAAAGGAGACGUGUUGCUGCGUACAGGGAGGAGAGGGAGAAGAAGCUUGAGCAUGCACGCUAAGCAAAAGCAGCGAUGGAGGA